GGGGUAGAUUCGGUUUCGACAUGUAUCACUAUAUAUGACUGCAGGUAGUUGGCAAACUUAAAAUGCACAAAAAAAUAAAUGACGAACCUAAAUUUGGUUUCGCUCCUGCUUUUGCCUAACACUUAAGCAAAAAGGAGCCCUUCAUAAUUCUUUUACUUAUAGGAGUAUUUUGAAGGUUAAUUUAUAUAAGUUAUAGAUAUAAUAUUGUUUAAGUGUUAUAUCCGAAUAAUUAUUAAACUUACUAUUUAAAAGGUACGUAUUAGCCAUAUUAAAUAGGAAAUAAUAAAUCAUACUAAACUUGUAGAUGUCAUAUAAUAGGAUAUAUUGGACAGGAGUUCAACUCUCCUCUACUCCACCA
This 358-nucleotide transfer-messenger RNA is filed under the name Mollicutes bacterium. It matches the Rfam family "transfer-messenger RNA". From Rfam's summary of the family: Bacterial tmRNA, also known as 10Sa RNA or SsrA, is named for its dual tRNA and mRNA-like properties. Its role is to liberate the mRNA from a stalled ribosome. The record is from RNAcentral. RNAcentral also lists the same sequence under 1 other name. Lineage: Bacteria; Bacillati; Mycoplasmatota; Mollicutes.